Molecule: non-coding RNA, 94 nt
Organism: Tephrocybe rancida
Lineage: Eukaryota; Fungi; Basidiomycota; Agaricomycetes; Agaricales; Lyophyllaceae
Source: the annotation of a GenBank genome assembly
UCGGGUAUAGUGUAAUAACUAAUAACAUUGCCGCCUCUCAUGGACUGAGAAUGGUUGCACGCGGCAGCUCGGGGUUCGAUUCCCCGUACCCAAA